Molecule: microRNA precursor, 146 nt
Organism: Gossypium arboreum
Lineage: Eukaryota; Viridiplantae; Streptophyta; Magnoliopsida; Malvales; Malvaceae
Rfam family: MIR7502 microRNA precursor family
Source: Rfam
UAUUAAAAAUUUUAUAUAUUUUUUACUGUUAAAAACUAACGUGAUUGAUGGAAUAAUCAGACAGUUAAAUAUGACGUGCCACGUGUACCAUAUACUGAUGCAUAGGAACUAAUUUUUAUCAGUAAAAAUGGAUAGAAUUUUUGAUA